RNAcentral lists this ribosomal RNA (2888 nucleotides) under Escherichia coli. Lineage: Bacteria; Pseudomonadati; Pseudomonadota; Gammaproteobacteria; Enterobacterales; Enterobacteriaceae. The record is from RNAcentral.
UUGCCUGGCGGCCGUAGCGCGGUGGUCCCACCUGACCCCAUGCCGAACUCAGAAGUGAAACGCCGUAGCGCCGAUGGUAGUGUGGGGUCUCCCCAUGCGAGAGUAGGGAACUGCCAGGCAUCAAAUUAAGCAGAAGGCCAUCCUGACGGAUGGCCUUUUNGCGAACCGGGGGAACUGAAACAUCUAAGUACCCCGAGGAAAAGAAAUCAACCGAGAUUCCCCCAGUAGCGGCGAGCGAACGGGGAGGAGCCCAGAGCCUGAAUCAGUGUGUGUGUUAGUGGAAGCGUCUGGAAAGGCGCGCGAUACAGGGUGACAGCCCCGUACACAAAAAUGCACAUACUGUGAGCUCGAUGAGUAGGGCGGGACACGUGGUAUCCUGUCUGAAUAUGGGGGGACCAUCCUCCAAGGCUAAAUACUCCUGACUGACCGAUAGUGAACCAGUACCGUGAGGGAAAGGCGAAAAGAACCCCGGCGAGGGGAGUGAAAAAGAACCUGAAACCGUGUACGUACAAGCAGUGGGAGCCUCUUUAUGGGGUGACUGCGUACCUUUUGUAUAAUGGGUCAGCGACUUAUAUUCUGUAGCAAGGUUAACCGAAUAGGGGAGCCGAAGGGAAACCGAGUCUUAACUGGGCGUUAAGUUGCAGGGUAUAGACCCGAAACCCGGUGAUCUAGCCAUGGGCAGGUUGAAGGUUGGGUAACACUAACUGGAGGACCGAACCGACUAAUGUUGAAAAAUUAGCGGAUGACUUGUGGCUGGGGGUGAAAGGCCAAUCAAACCGGGAGAUAGCUGGUUCUCCCCGAAAGCUAUUUAGGUAGCGCCUCGUGAAUUCAUCUCCGGGGGUAGAGCACUGUUUCGGCAAGGGGGUCAUCCCGACUUACCAACCCGAUGCAAACUGCGAAUACCGGAGAAUGUUAUCACGGGAGACACACGGCGGGUGCUAACGUCCGUCGUGAAGAGGGAAACAACCCAGACCGCCAGCUAAGGUCCCAAAGUCAUGGUUAAGUGGGAAACGAUGUGGGAAGGCCCAGACAGCCAGGAUGUUGGCUUAGAAGCAGCCAUCAUUUAAAGAAAGCGUAAUAGCUCACUGGUCGAGUCGGCCUGCGCGGAAGAUGUAACGGGGCUAAACCAUGCACCGAAGCUGCGGCAGCGACGCUUAUGCGUUGUUGGGUAGGGGAGCGUUCUGUAAGCCUGCGAAGGUGUGCUGUGAGGCAUGCUGGAGGUAUCAGAAGUGCGAAUGCUGACAUAAGUAACGAUAAAGCGGGUGAAAAGCCCGCUCGCCGGAAGACCAAGGGUUCCUGUCCAACGUUAAUCGGGGCAGGGUGAGUCGACCCCUAAGGCGAGGCCGAAAGGCGUAGUCGAUGGGAAACAGGUUAAUAUUCCUGUACUUGGUGUUACUGCGAAGGGGGGACGGAGAAGGCUAUGUUGGCCGGGCGACGGUUGUCCCGGUUUAAGCGUGUAGGCUGGUUUUCCAGGCAAAUCCGGAAAAUCAAGGCUGAGGCGUGAUGACGAGGCACUACGGUGCUGAAGCAACAAAUGCCCUGCUUCCAGGAAAAGCCUCUAAGCAUCAGGUAACAUCAAAUCGUACCCCAAACCGACACAGGUGGUCAGGUAGAGAAUACCAAGGCGCUUGAGAGAACUCGGGUGAAGGAACUAGGCAAAAUGGUGCCGUAACUUCGGGAGAAGGCACGCUGAUAUGUAGGUGAAGCGACUUGCUCGUGGAGCUGAAAUCAGUCGAAGAUACCAGCUGGCUGCAACUGUUUAUUAAAAACACAGCACUGUGCAAACACGAAAGUGGACGUAUACGGUGUGACGCCUGCCCGGUGCCGGAAGGUUAAUUGAUGGGGUUAGCGGUAACGCGAAGCUCUUGAUCGAAGCCCCGGUAAACGGCGGCCGUAACUAUAACGGUCCUAAGGUAGCGAAAUUCCUUGUCGGGUAAGUUCCGACCUGCACGAAUGGCGUAAUGAUGGCCAGGCUGUCUCCACCCGAGACUCAGUGAAAUUGAACUCGCUGUGAAGAUGCAGUGUACCCGCGGCAAGACGGAAAGACCCCGUGAACCUUUACUAUAGCUUGACACUGAACAUUGAGCCUUGAUGUGUAGGAUAGGUGGGAGGCUUUGAAGUGUGGACGCCAGUCUGCAUGGAGCCGACCUUGAAAUACCACCCUUUAAUGUUUGAUGUUCUAACGUUGGCCCCUGAUCGGGGUUGCGGACAGUGUCUGGUGGGUAGUUUGACUGGGGCGGUCUCCUCCUAAAGAGUAACGGAGGAGCACGAAGGUUGGCUAAUCCUGGUCGGACAUCAGGAGGUUAGUGCAAUGGCAUAAGCCAGCUUGACUGCGAGCGUGACGGCGCGAGCAGGUGCGAAAGCAGGUCAUAGUGAUCCGGUGGUUCUGAAUGGAAGGGCCAUCGCUCAACGGAUAAAAGGUACUCCGGGGAUAACAGGCUGAUACCGCCCAAGAGUUCAUAUCGACGGCGGUGUUUGGCACCUCGAUGUCGGCUCAUCACAUCCUGGGGCUGAAGUAGGUCCCAAGGGUAUGGCUGUUCGCCAUUUAAAGUGGUACGCGAGCUGGGUUUAGAACGUCGUGAGACAGUUCGGUCCCUAUCUGCCGUGGGCGCUGGAGAACUGAGGGGGGCUGCUCCUAGUACGAGAGGACCGGAGUGGACGCAUCACUGGUGUUCGGGUUGUCAUGCCAAUGGCACUGCCCGGUAGCUAAAUGCGGAAGAGAUAAGUGCUGAAAGCAUCUAAGCACGAAACUUGCCCCGAGAUGAGUUCUCCCUGAGACUUUAAGUCUCCUGAAGGAACGUUGAAGACGACGACGUUGAUAGGCCGGGUGUGUAAGCGCAGCGAUGCGUUGAGCUAACCGGUACUAAUGAACCGUGAGGCUUAACCUU